RNAcentral lists this long non-coding RNA (320 nucleotides) under Homo sapiens (human). RNAcentral describes it as "non-protein coding lnc-NKD2-1:1". The record is from RNAcentral. Lineage: Eukaryota; Metazoa; Chordata; Mammalia; Primates; Hominidae.
GAAUGGGUGGUUUAGUGUGUGAAUGAGUGGCUGUGAACGAGUGGGUGAGUUUGUGAAUGAAUGGGUGAGAUCGUGUGUGAAUGGGUUAGUGUGUGAAUGAGUGGGUGGGUUAGUGUGUGAAUGAAUGGGUAGAUUAGUGUGUGAAUGAGUGGGUGGGUUAGUGUGUGAAUGAGUGAGUUAGUGAAUGGGUGGGUUAGUGUGUGAGUGAGUGCAUGAAUGGGUGAGUUAGUGUGUGAACGAGUGGGCGAGUUAGUAUGUGAAUGAGUGGGUUAGUGUGUGAAGGAGUGGAUGUGUGAACAAGUGGGUGAGUUAAGUGUGUG